Molecule: ribosomal RNA, 465 nt
Filed under: Vreelandella stevensii
Lineage: Bacteria; Pseudomonadati; Pseudomonadota; Gammaproteobacteria; Oceanospirillales; Halomonadaceae
Description: partial 16S ribosomal RNA
Rfam family: Bacterial small subunit ribosomal RNA
Source: RNAcentral
CCUACGGGCGGCUGCAGUGGGGAAUAUUGGACAAUGGGCGAAAGCCUGAUCCAGCCAUGCCGCGUGUGUGAAGAAGGCCUUCGGGUUGUAAAGCACUUUCAGUGGGGAAGAAAGCCUUGGGGCUAAUACCCUCGAGGAAGGACAUCACCCACAGAAGAAGCACCGGCUAACUCCGUGCCAGCAGCCGCGGUAAUACGGAGGGUGCGAGCGUUAAUCGGAAUUACAGGGCGUAAAGCGCGCGUAGGCGGUCUGAUAAGCCGGUUGUGAAAGCCCCGGGCUCAACCUGGGAACGGCAUCCGGAACUGUCAGGCUAGAGUGCAGGAGAGGAAGGUAGAAUUCCCGGUGUAGCGGUGAAAUGCGUAGAGAUCGGGAGGAAUACCAGUGGCGAAGGCGGCCUUCUGGACUGACACUGACGCUGAGGUGCGAAAGCGUGGGUAGCAAACAGGAUUAGAUACCCGGGUAGUC